RNAcentral lists this ribosomal RNA (458 nucleotides) under uncultured bacterium. RNAcentral's name for it is "partial 16S ribosomal RNA". It matches the Rfam family "Bacterial small subunit ribosomal RNA", at positions 28 to 507 of the family's 1533-position model. The record is from RNAcentral.
GAUAAACGCUGGCGGCGUGCAUGAGACAUGCAAGUCGAACGAAGGAUCGGGCUUGCUCGAUCCUUAGUGGCGGACGGCUGAGUAACGCGUAGGUGACCUACCCCGAAGUGGGGAAUAACUGCCCGAAAGGGUGGCUAAUACCGCAUGUGGUCGCACGUUCAUUCGUGCGAGUAAAGCCGCAAGGCGCUUCGGGAGGGGCCUGCGUCCGAUUAGCUCGUUGGUGGGGUAAUGGCUUACCAAGGCGACGAUCGGUAGGUGGUCUGAGAGGACGAUCACCCAGACUGGGACUGAGACACGGCCCAGACUCCUACGGGAGGCAGCAGUCGGGAAUUUUGCUCAAUGGGGGAAACCGUGAAGCAGCAACGCCGCGUGAGGGAUGAAGGCCUUCGGGUUGUAAACCUCUUUUGUCAGGGACGAUGAUGACGGUACCUGGCGAAUAAGCCACGGCUAACUACGUG